RNAcentral lists this ribosomal RNA (362 nucleotides) under Fistulifera sp. BAPS-52-5. RNAcentral describes it as "bacterial LSU rRNA". It matches the Rfam family "Bacterial large subunit ribosomal RNA", at positions 2123 to 2485 of the family's 2925-position model. Lineage: Eukaryota; Bacillariophyta; Bacillariophyceae; Naviculales; Stauroneidaceae. The record is from RNAcentral.
UUGGACUUUAUUUGCGCAGUAUAGGUGGGAGGCGUGGAAAGUAUUCUUGCGGGAAUAGCGGAGCCAUCAGUGAGAUACCACUCUUGUAAUGUUAGAUUUCUAACUUUGUAUCCUUAUCGGGUCAAAGAACAGUCUCAGGCGGGCAGUUUGACUGGGGCGGUCGCCUCCCAAACGGUAACGGAGGCGCACAAAGGUUUCCUCUGAACGGGUAGAAAUCGUAUCUAGAGUGUAAAGGCAUAAGGAAGCUUGACUGUGAGACCUACAAGUCGAGCAGGGACGAAAGUCGGUCUUAGUGAUCUGACGGUGCUGAGUGGAAAGGCCGUCACUCAACGGAUAAAAGUUACUCUAGGGAAACAGGCUGA